Molecule: ribosomal RNA, 484 nt
Filed under: uncultured bacterium
Lineage: Bacteria
Description: partial 16S ribosomal RNA
Rfam family: Bacterial small subunit ribosomal RNA
Source: RNAcentral
AUUGAACGCUGGCGGCAUGCUUUACACAUGCAAGUCGAGCGGCAGCGCGGGCUUCGGCCUGGCGGCGAGUGGCGAACGGGUGAGUAAUACAUCGGAACGUGCCCAGUAGUGGGGGAUAGCUCGGCGAAAGCCGGAUUAAUACCGCAUACGACCUGAGGGUGAAAGCGGGGGAUCUUCGGACCUCGCGCUAUUGGAGCGGCCGAUGGCAGAUUAGCUAGUUGGUGGGGUAAAGGCCUACCAAGGCGACGAUCUGUAGCUGGUCUGAGAGGACGACCAGCCACACUGGGACUGAGACACGGCCCAGACUCCUACGGGAGGCAGCAGUGGGGAAUUUUGGACAAUGGGCGAAAGCCUGAUCCAGCAAUGCCGCGUGUGUGAUGAAGGUCUUCGGGUUGUAAAGCACUUUUGGCGGGAACGAAAAGGACUGUGCCAAUACCACGGUUCGAUGACGGUACCCGCAGAAUAAGCACCGGCUAACUACGUG